RNAcentral lists this ribosomal RNA (663 nucleotides) under Neonectria neomacrospora. RNAcentral's name for it is "SSU rRNA". It matches the Rfam family "Bacterial small subunit ribosomal RNA", at positions 374 to 938 of the family's 1533-position model. Lineage: Eukaryota; Fungi; Ascomycota; Sordariomycetes; Hypocreales; Nectriaceae. The record is from RNAcentral.
GCCUAACGGAUGAACUGGCAACUUGGAGAAGUGGCAAGUUUUAUAAUUAAUAGUAAUUAAUAUUUCUAUUUUUAUAAGAUUCUAUUAGAAUUGAAUGAAGCUUUGUUUAUAUAUUGAUAAUGACAGUAUAUAUAUCGUGUCUUGACUAAUUGCGUGCCAGCAGUCGCGGUAAUACGUAAGAGACUAGUGUUAUUCAUCUUAAUUAGGUUUAAAGGGUACCCAGACGGUCAAUAUAGCUUCUAUAAUGUUAGUACUUGACUAGAGUUUUAUGUAAGAGGGCAGUACUUGAGGAGGAGAGAUGAAAUUUCGUGAUACCAAAGGGACUCUGUAAAGGCGAAGGCAGCCCUCUAUGUAAAAACUGACGUUGAAGGACGAAGGCACAGAGAACAAACAGGAUUAGAUACCCAAGUAGUCUUUGCAGUAAAUGAUGAAUGCCAUAGGUCAGAUCUAUAGUUAAUGCUCUGCGGUGUAAACAAGCCAGUAUUGAAUCUAUCAAAACUGUGCUUGCUAAUUUUUUUUGUGUAUUUAUACAUCGAAAAGAUAUGCCUGUAUACAUUAAAAUAAUUUGGUCUAUAAAUGAAAGUGUAAGCAUUUCACCUCAAGAGUAAUGUGGCAACGCAGGAACUGAAAUCACUAGACCGUUUCUGACACCAGUAGUGAAGU